GGUUGGUCCGAGGGUUGUGGGUUAUUGCUUAACUGUUCAACAUUGUCUUUCCCCACAACCACGCUUGACCAACUGUGGUUUU
RNAcentral lists this Y RNA (82 nucleotides) under Choloepus hoffmanni (Hoffmann's two-fingered sloth). RNAcentral's name for it is "Y RNA (ENSCHOG00000015492.1)". It matches the Rfam family "Y RNA". Rfam says of the family: Y RNAs are components of the Ro ribonucleoprotein particle (Ro RNP), in association with Ro60 and La proteins. The Y RNAs and Ro60 and La proteins are well conserved, but the function of the Ro RNP is not known. In humans the RNA component can be one of four small RNAs -- hY1, hY3, hY4 and hY5. The record is from RNAcentral. Lineage: Eukaryota; Metazoa; Chordata; Mammalia; Pilosa; Megalonychidae.